Molecule: microRNA, 22 nt
Filed under: Citrus sinensis (sweet orange)
Lineage: Eukaryota; Viridiplantae; Streptophyta; Magnoliopsida; Sapindales; Rutaceae
Description: csi-miR482a-3p
Gene: csi-miR482a-3p
Source: miRBase by way of RNAcentral
UCUUCCCUAUGCCUCCCAUUCC